ACCUAGCUGGCUGAGUCAGUACAGCAUGGGAUUCUUGAUCUCAAAGUCAUGAGUUCAAACCCCAGUUUGGGCA
Molecule: transfer RNA, 73 nt
Filed under: Mustela putorius furo (domestic ferret)
Lineage: Eukaryota; Metazoa; Chordata; Mammalia; Carnivora; Mustelidae
Rfam family: tRNA
About the family: Transfer RNA (tRNA) molecules are approximately 80 nucleotides in length. Their secondary structure includes four short double-helical elements and three loops (D, anti-codon, and T loops).
Source: Rfam by way of RNAcentral